GUGGGAUUAGUGUAAUGGUAACAUGUAACCCUUCCAAGGUUAAUUUGACAGUUCGAGUCUGUUAUCCCACU
This 71-nucleotide transfer RNA is filed under the name Crassvirales sp. Its description in RNAcentral is "tRNA-Gly". It matches the Rfam family "tRNA". Rfam says of the family: Transfer RNA (tRNA) molecules are approximately 80 nucleotides in length. Their secondary structure includes four short double-helical elements and three loops (D, anti-codon, and T loops). RNAcentral also lists the same sequence under 2 other names. The record is from RNAcentral. Lineage: Duplodnaviria; Heunggongvirae; Uroviricota; Caudoviricetes; Crassvirales.